CCCCUGGAGGGAAAAUUCCCCCGGUGGCGGCAGGGGGAGCGCGGGCGAGAGGAGCCCCCAUGCCGGUGCCCGAGGGGCGGCGGGAUCCCGCUGGUUUCACUGGGGCCCCGACGGGAAGCUGGGCACCCUCCGGUAGAACAGGUGGCGGCCGCCGCGGCUCCGGUCGCAGCCUCCCGGCUAUCUUUGUACCGCGGGGAUACCGGGGGAGUUGUACUGAAAUACGAUCUAUCGAUUAAUUUGAUUUUACCAAUUUACGUAUUUUAAGAUUUGCCCUCCUCCCCCUGGGCACCCCGGCGCCGAACCCUGUGCCCCCCGGGAACCCCAGGCAGGGGCUGGGAAAGGGCUGAUGCGGGGUGACGAUGGCUCGCUCCCGGAUCCCUUCGGGAAGCUGGAACGGGGCUGGAUGCUGCGGGAAAUGGGAAUUUGGGGCUCCCGAGGUGCUACCGGGGGCUGCGAACGCUUUUUGGGGGAAACGGGGGAGCAGGGAGUUGGUGCCUCGCUCCAAGGGGUCCCUGGCGCCGUCACCUCCAGCUCCUGAGUGAUGCUGAUCACAUUAAAGUGUAUUUUUGCCUAGUUCUUUGGGUUUUUAUCUUUAAAUCCAAGCUGCUCACCUGCACUCAGUCUCUGUGGUGGUGCAUUGAUUUUGUUUUUUUGGGUAGUGGCAUUUCUCCAAAGAUUAUAAAUAGUGACACCCAUCAGCAGAAAACAAGCGGCGGCUGACCUGUGCGGUGGGGGGAUGGAUGGAGGAGUGGAGAGACGAUGGGUGGGGGGAUGUGAAGCCAUUGAGGCUCCCCUGGCUCAUGCAGGGUGGGGGAAAUGGGGAGGGUUUGCGUUUUGGGGGGGACGGGGAGAGGUUGUGUGCUGGGAGAGCUGCUCUGAGCUUCGGGGCUGGCAGGGGGUGAUAGGGAAACUGAGGCACGGGGCUGGUGGGGGCUCCGUGCUCCGCUGUAAAGGCGGCCUCUGUUCCCCCGGUUUCGGGGGGAGUUGGGGUUUGCUGCUCCCCAGCCCUCGUGUGCGGUGCUCUGCUGGCUCAGGGCUGAGCUGCUGCAGCCCCUGAGGGGCAGUGGGGGGACGCACUGGGGACCGGGGGGCUUUGUGGGGAAAGUCCCCUCCUAAGCAAAUCCUUUUCCCUCGGUGGGUUCCCUUGGCUGCAGGACGGCAAUGGCGAGGGGCAGGACCGAGCCUGCUCCUGGUGUAAAUCAGGUGUUUGCUCCAUUUCCCUGGCAGAUGCAGGCUCAGCUCCGCAGUGGAGCCGAAGGGACUGGAUCCAGCUGGAGGAAAGGUGGAUGUGACACUUGGGGACGUGCUGAGGGCACGGUUGGCUCAGUGAUGUUUCCCAACCCAAAUGACUCCGUGGCAAGGUGCGCUCUGCUGCUCGGUGUUGCACCGGGAAUUCAGCGAUGAGCUGCUCGGGGUCCCCCCGUGCCCCCCGUGCUCCCGGGCUGUUUUCGGCGGAGAGGACGCGCCUUGGGGACACACGGCCGCGCUGCUGCGUGGCACUCCUGCCGGAAUUAUGCGGAAACUCUUUGCGCUCGGCCCCGACUUCGUUAGCAGCAAUUAAACAAAUAAAAUAUUUGGGUUUGCAGCUUC
Long non-coding RNA from Oenanthe melanoleuca, 1590 nucleotides. RefSeq lists it as uncharacterized. The record is from RefSeq and is a predicted model, not a curated record. NCBI's taxonomy places the organism in Eukaryota, Metazoa, Chordata, Aves, Passeriformes, Muscicapidae. The transcript has 2 exons.